AUUGAACGCUGGCGGCAGGCCUAACACAUGCAAGUCGAACGGUAACAGAAAGCAGCUUGCUGCUUUGCUGACGAGUGGCGGACGGGUGAGUAAUGUCUGGGAAACUGCCUGAUGGAGGGGGAUAACUACUGGAAACGGUAGCUAAUACCGCAUAACGUCGCAAGACCAAAGAGGGGGACCUUCGGGCCUCUUGCCAUCGGAUGUGCCCAGAUGGGAUUAGCUAGUAGGUGGGGUAAAGGCUCACCUAGGCGACGAUCCCUAGCUGGUCUGAGAGGAUGACCAGCCACACUGGAACUGAGACACGGUCCAGACUCCUACGGGAGGCAGCAGUGGGGAAUAUUGCACAAUGGGCGCAAGCCUGAUGCAGCCAUGCCGCAUGUAUGAAGAAGGCCUUCGGGUUGUAAAGUACUUUCAGCGGGGAGGAAGGGAGUAAAGUUAAUACCUUUGCUCAUUGACGUUACCCGCAGAAGAAGCACCGGCUAACUCCGUG
This 490-nucleotide ribosomal RNA is filed under the name uncultured bacterium. RNAcentral describes it as "partial 16S ribosomal RNA". It matches the Rfam family "Bacterial small subunit ribosomal RNA", at positions 30 to 507 of the family's 1533-position model. The record is from RNAcentral.